Molecule: long non-coding RNA, 1539 nt
Organism: Amphiprion ocellaris (clown anemonefish)
Lineage: Eukaryota; Metazoa; Chordata; Actinopteri; Pomacentridae
Exons: 2
Source: RefSeq, a predicted model, not a curated record
CUGAGAGAUGGUUGAGAAGGUUUGCAGUUCUUGUUUUAGCAAACACUGUUUAUUCACCAACACUUUAUUUAAUAAAAGUCCCAUCUAGUUUUUAUGAGGAUUGUGAUGUUUUAAUUUCUCUGUGAAUAACUGCAGUCUAAUGCAACAGCUGGAAUUGUAACAUCUGUCCUGAUAUUGAUCAUGAAGUAUUGAUCAGAAUACUUAUGGUUAGCAGUCAUCCCUGAAGUUUUACAUUAAAAUCUUUACUUGUGCUGUGAACUUUGGUAAGAAGCAGAAACUUUUGCGUUGCCAUGGAUACAUGAGUGUUAAAUUCUGUCCAUGUUUCCAUUUUGGGAAAUUCAGUCCAGUUCCAGAAUGUGGAGAAAUUUAGUCUCACAAUCACAGACAACAAAUAUUAUCUGAAAGUUGGGUUAUUGUUGUUUAUCAGCACAAUACAAAAAGAUUAAUGUUAGAAAUAUUCCAGUUAAGACUCUAGAAUAUCAUGAUUUAUGUAAAUGUACCUCAAUAAUAUGAAUGUUCAGGUUAAGAUUGUACAGUGAUAUUUAUUUUGUAAGUUUAGCUGAUUAAAGUUUAUGACUCUGCACUACAAUAUUAUUUAAAUUGACAUCAUUAUUAUAAUAUUUAGGGUCAGACCCUAAAGGAUUGAGAUUAAGAAAUCAAAUAUUCUAUAAAAUGUAAAUACACUGAACUCAUUUGAAUAUAUUUAAGUGAGACUCUACAAUAUUAUUUGACACAAAUCUAUCUAAAUCAGAAUUUUAAUAAUUUUCACGCCAAACAUUUACUGGACUGAUUUAAACAUUAAAAUCACUCCUUUCUAAUCCUCUGCUGUACGUUCAAACCUGAGGCCUUAAAUAGAAACACACAAGUAUCUGAUUGAAGGAACUUCUGCAGAGUCCUGGUUCCAGAACAUGAUGAUAGAAUUAUAGACAAACUUUAACAAAAGCUGCCUGAGAGUUUACAGGUUUUUAUGUUAGAUUUCUUCAGUAAUUUAAUGAGAGUUACCAGCAAAAAUCAAGUGUUUAUUUGAUGAACUUCAUUUCCUAAAACAUCCAGAAUUGGAGCUCAUAUCUUUGGCAGUUGUAAAGUUUCUGCUCCUUUAAAGUUCACAACACAAUGAAUGAAUUCCUAAAACACUCUCAAUGCUGGAGAGUGUUUGUGAUGCUGAAGCAGUGACCAGUUUUUCUGUUUCUUCUCUGGAGAUGCACAAUGAGGGACGUCUGCAGAGACUGAGAAAGAGUCUCACCACAUCCUGACAUGAGGAAAAAGACUUUAUUGAAGACUACGAUGAGAAAAACUAUCAGACAGCAGACGGCUGCAUUCAAGUCUGUAGCUGCUGAAUUCAUGGAUGAAUCAUCUGGCACUAGAGAAGAAGACCAUCAAACAUCCACGUCAGCUGAUGGAGGUCCAAGAGUCUCACCAAACAACCAACCUACAGAGUGAAGACCUCAAAUCUGAUUGGAUGGCCUCCUAUUCAGCCACGUGUGAACAAAUGCCUCUAAGCUGAUUUGUUUUCUAAAAUAAAUCUAGUUUGAGUCCUAA